AGAGAGAGACAUGCGCGCAUAUCAAUAAGCGGAGGAAAAGAAACUAACAAGGAUUCCCCUAGUAACGGCGAGUGAAGCGGGAAGAGCUCAAAUUUGAAAUCUUAAAGGGUUUCCCUUUACGAAUUGUAGUUUAAAGAAGUGUUUUCUGUUGAGGUUUUGGUAAAAGUUCUUUGGAAUAGGACAUCAUAGAGGGUGAGAAUCCCGUAUUUGACCUUUACUUUCAACUUUGUGAUACACUUUCAAAGAGUCGGAUUGUUUGGGAAUGCAGUCCAAAAUGGGUGGUAAAUUUCAUCUAAAGCUAAAUAUUGGCGAGAGACCGAUAGCGAACAAGUACCGUGAGGAAAGAUGAAAAGAACUUUGAAAAGAGAGUUAAACAGUACGUGAAAUUGUCAAAAGGGAAGCGUUUGACACCAGUGUUGUUUUUCUGAAAAUCAAUUAAAGAACUGUUUAUGCUAAGUUGUUUAGACUUUAUCAGCUAACUGUUUAGUUUUGAGCUUUUCUUUAAUGCACUUUUCAGUUAACAAGUCAACAUCAAUUUCUUUUGCUGUAAAAAAGCUUGAGGAAGGUGGCUUGAGAUUCGUCUUAAGUGUUUAUAGCCUCUUGCCUAUGCAGUCGGAGAGAUUGAGGUCUGCAGCGUAGAUCCUUCGGGGCUAAAUGCAUUUGUGCUAAGUUAUAGCAUUUUAUAGACAACUUGUUGACUAUGAUUUGUCUUGUAGCUUACUCGCUUAUGCUAUUUUACCUACGCUUAGGAUGUUGAGCGCAUGUCUCUCUCU
RNAcentral lists this ribosomal RNA (773 nucleotides) under uncultured Neocallimastigales. RNAcentral's name for it is "partial large subunit ribosomal RNA". It matches the Rfam family "Eukaryotic large subunit ribosomal RNA", at positions 23 to 616 of the family's 3401-position model. The record is from RNAcentral. Lineage: Eukaryota; Fungi; Neocallimastigomycota; Neocallimastigomycetes; Neocallimastigales.